GAAUGCUGACAUAAGUAACGAUAAAGCGGGUGAAAAGCCCGCUCGCCGGAAGACCAAGGGUUCCUGUCCAACGUUAAUCGGGGCAGGGUGAGUCGACCCCUAAGGCGAGGCCGAAAGGCGUAGUCGAUGGGAAACGGGUUAAUAUUCCCGUACUUGGUGUUACUGCGAAGGGGGGACGGAGAAGGCUAUGUUGGCCGGGCGACGGUUGUCCCGGUUUAAGCGUGUAGGUGUGUGUUCCAGGUAAAUCCGGUUCACUUUAACACUGAGGCGUGAUGACGAGGCACUACGGUGCUGAAGCAACAAAUGCCCUGCUUCCAGGAAAAGCCUCUAAGCAUCAGGUAACAUCAAAUCGUACCCCAAACCGACACAGGUGGUCAGGUAGAGAAUACCAAGGCGCUUGAGAGAACUCGGGUGAAGGAACUAGGCAAAAUGGUGCCGUAACUUCGGGAGAAGGCACGCUGACACGUAGGUGAAGUGAUUUACUCACGGAGCUGAAGUCAGUCGAAGAUACCAGCUGGCU
Molecule: ribosomal RNA, 520 nt
Filed under: Salmonella enterica subsp. enterica serovar London
Lineage: Bacteria; Pseudomonadati; Pseudomonadota; Gammaproteobacteria; Enterobacterales; Enterobacteriaceae
Description: partial 23S ribosomal RNA
Rfam family: Bacterial large subunit ribosomal RNA
Source: RNAcentral